Molecule: ribosomal RNA, 438 nt
Filed under: Triticum aestivum (bread wheat)
Lineage: Eukaryota; Viridiplantae; Streptophyta; Magnoliopsida; Poales; Poaceae
Description: partial small subunit ribosomal RNA
Source: RNAcentral
AUGUUUUUUUUUUGCAGGGUAACAUGUAUGAUUGUUGAGGUACAGCACCACUCCCGCUGCAUCCUAUGCGACCAGGAGCCAGAAACGAUGAAGCACCUGCUGGUCAGAUGCCCCUUCUCGCGGCAAAUUUGGCACGAUGCCUUCACUUGGCUACACCUGACCUGUCGGCGGCCCGACCCGGUCCAGGACAGCUGCUUCAAGGACUGGUGGCGGCAAGCCAAGCAAGCCACGCCACAACGAAUGCGGAAAGGGCUUGCAUCGGCGAUCCACUUGACGGCCUGGAUGAUCUGGAAGGAACGGAACGCCUGCGUGUUCGACGGCGCGCAACCCUCCGCCACCCAGCUCAUGGCAAGAAUUAAAGAUGAGGCGACGCUCUGGGUCAGGGCAGGCGCCACCGGCCUGGGACUGAUCCUCCCGAGGACCUGGGACGUCCACUAA